Esox lucius (northern pike) is the source of this 2649-nucleotide long non-coding RNA. The record is from Ensembl. Lineage: Eukaryota; Metazoa; Chordata; Actinopteri; Esociformes; Esocidae.
GGUUUGUACAUUAAUUCAUCUAUUUAAUGUAUUUAUUUAUGCCAUAACAGUAUGUGUCUAUUCAUGUGUUACAAUAUGACUUUCCAUUGACCUUGUAAGAUGCUGCUGAUCUUCAAAGAAAAUGUUUAUAUGCAUGAAACUGUAGAGAGUCCAUGGGACUUAGUUUUUUAAAGAGGAACAAUGUCUAGUAUCAGCCGUAACUUCAAACAAAUGACAAAUGCAGAUAUAUUUGUUUCAUAGCAAUAAUAACUUCACUGGUACAGCAAUUGACAUGUAUAAUAAUAAUCAAAGCUGUCCUGUUUGCAGUCGAUUUAGGGCAAUAAAAUGAAACAGAUUAACAGGAAUCCUUUAGAAAUCCUCCAUCUUGUUGUUCCCCAAACCAGUCCACUCAGCUGCCUGCCUCCACGUACAGGCUAAAGAUUGACCCUUACAGGCCCCUGAACAUGACUUAUGAUAAAAAUGUCAUGCAAUAUCGUCCAAAGAUAGCCAAACGUACUACUAUGCUUCAUAAGAAAUGCCAUGAAAUCAAACGUUUUCCACACAUAACAUGAAAGUCUUCCUUUAUCAACCCACAUUUUUAAAUAGACCCACAUUCUUUUCUACCAGCUUUCCCUUCUACAUUUCACAAAGCUUUAUUCUAGAAUCCUGACAGGUUGAGUUAUUUAGAAGCAAGGCCGAGAAGCUGCAGUCAUCAUGCCAGUAGAGAAAAUGACAAUGGGAAAGCUUCUUUCCCUGGUGGAUUAGCCAGGCGAUAAUAAUAGGCAAUGCAGUAAUUAUAAAACAGUGUUGACACAAAUUGCUCUACAGAUUACCCUGCUGGAGCUUUGCUGCACUCCACUAAAGCCCUGGAAAUGGACAAAAAAAGUUUGUAAUCGAGCGAUUGGCAAGUGUAUCUGUGAGACAAUAGUUUUACCCCUGAAAGCACAGACCCUCCAGGGCUUUGGAUACGCUUCUGUAGCCUGGAUUAGCAGGGGAAUAUGCACUGAAAACACCCCGUGAAGCUGAGCAGACCUUUUAUUGUUGCCCAAAAUCUGCCACAGUAAUAAACAGUACUGAGUGUCAACGCGUCCCAGAACAUGUUCACUUUGUUGGGGAAAUCUAAAAAGAACAGUGUUCGUAGGGUAAGACAACAACACAGUUAGAACUAUGAAACAGAUUUAACAAUAAAAAAUGUUUUACAAUAAAACCGAUGUCCAUCCAGCAAUUUACAAAAUAUGGUGAUAGACACAUUCCUUUGUUCAUGUCUGAUAGCCACCUAAAUCCCUGCUCGACACAGACUGCUGUUACUGUAAUAAGAUAAUAAUACACUCUCUCACUCCCACCUCCAUCAAAACCUCUCUCCUCUCUAACCGGCAAUGAUGAGACGGUGGUUUGGUGGCGUGUGAGACUGGAGUGCUAGACCAGGAUUGGUAGAGGGCUGUGGCGUGUGGGAGGAUAACAGGUGUUUGCAGACAGACUGCAGAUAGGGAGAGUAAUUGAGUUGGUGAGCGACCUCCAAGGGGAAGGUCAAGCACCAGCAGGCAAAUGCACUGUCAGCUAUUUGCAUAUUCUAAAUGGAUGACACAAUCCCAGUAGUGGUGAGCUCUCCUUUAUUAAACCUGCCGGGAAUAUCGUACUAGUCUUCCUUUUAUCACUAUAUCCUCCUCUGUAUUACACCACUACCCCUCGAUAUGAACUGCUGGCUGCCAUCCUACAAAUGUAGGAUCUCGGAACAUGAUAGGGUUGGGGACAGCACUGCAGGUGUCGUGGUCUGGCUUCAGUUUGUUUACAGGUACUUCAUUUGUAGAAUAUUUCUUUAUUUCAUUUUUUUGUACUUAUUCUCCUUCGAGGUGUUAGUGUUUUCCAUGAGCAAUAUCACAACCAAACUGCGCUGUAUAUCCUAUAUGGUUGAAAAACACAUUUAUAGUGUCCCAAAAUUGAAUAAAAAAAAUAAAAUACUGAGCAAAUUGGUUUUGAAGCGGUUGUUUGUUUUCAAGAAUGGAAAACAUUGUUCCUCUUUGACGAUUUUGUAAAUAUAUUUAUAUAUCACAGCAAUAAUAUGAAAAUGCAUGUGGACAACAUGUUUCCUCUGUUAGUUCAUGUUGUCUUUUGAGAAGAAGACAAAUACAGGUACCAACAGCAGUGUGGGUGGGAAUGUGAAUCAGGGAGUCUUAAUUAAAAUCUAUCUGUCGUAAGUCACCAACAACACUUCACUUCUCUGUGUGUUCUGACUAGUCCAUGUUCUUAUUCCUACCCAGUACCCCACCCUUUUAUUUAUAUGCCUGGCCUGGCUGCACCAUGUUUAAAAGUUUUAAAAGAUUUCCAUAACAAAAGCCUUCAACAUAUGGCUGACUGCUUGGAACCUUCCAUAUGGCCCUCAAAACACUGAUUAAGAUUUUUCACUUUAUUCCUCACACUCUGUCAUUCUCAAUUUUCUCUGUCUUUACUAUUUUCCAAUGAAGUGUUAAGAAAAUUAAGCCAUGGUUUAUGAGGGGUGUUUUGGUUUAUUGGAUUCUUCUGCUACAAUUACUAAUGAUGACAACAAUAAUGCUGAUAAAGAUAAUAAAACAAUAGCACAAACAAUCAUCAGGUCCGUUUUUAUUUACCUUGAUAUAAUUGAAUUGUUUAUUUUAUUAUCUUUAUAUUAUAUUGCCCCUUCAGCAAUCAGAC